AGGGAUUACCUCAGUAACGGCGAGUGAAGCGGUAACAGCUCAAAUUUGAAAUCUGGGUCUUUCAGGCUCCGAGUUGUAAUUUGUAGAAGAUGCUUCGGGUGCGGCUCCGGUCUAAGUUCCUUGGAACAGGACGUCAUAGAGGGUGAGAAUCCCGUAUGUGAUCGGUUGCUUGCGCCCAUGUGAAGCUCUUUCGACGAGUCGAGUUGUUUGGGAAUGCAGCUCAAAAUGGGUGGUAAAUUUCAUCUAAAGCUAAAUAUUGGCCAGAGACCGAUAGCGCACAAGUAGAGUGAUCGAAAGAUGAAAAGCACUUUGGAAAGAGAGUUAAACAGUACGUGAAAUUGUUGAAAGGGAAGCGCUUGCAACCAGACUUGCGCGUUGCCGAUCAUCUGGGGUUCUCCCCAGUGCACUCGGCCUCGCUCAGGCCAGCAUCGGUUUCGGUGGUGGGAUAAAGGCCUUGGGAAUGUAGCUCCUCUCGGGGAGUGUUAUAGCCCUCGGUGCAAUGCCGCCUACCGGGACCGAGGACCGCGCUUCGGCUAGGAUGCUGGCGUAAUGGUUGUAAGCGACCCGUCUUGAAACACGGACCAAGGAGUCUAACAUCUAUGCGAGUGUUUGGGUGUCAAACCCAUACGCGUAAUGAAAGUGAACGGAGGUGAGAACCCUUAAGGGUGCAUCAUCGACCGAUCCUGAUGUCUUCGGAUGGAUUUGAGUAAGAGCAUAGCUGUUGGGACCCGAAAGAUGGUGAACUAUGCCUGAAUAGGGUGAAGCCAGAGGAAACUCUGGUGGAGGCUCGCAGCGGUUCUGACGUGCAAAUCGAUCGUCAAAUUUGGGUAUAGGGGCGAAGACUAAUCGAACCAUCUAGUAGCUGGU
RNAcentral lists this ribosomal RNA (867 nucleotides) under Coleophoma eucalyptigena. RNAcentral describes it as "partial large subunit ribosomal RNA". It matches the Rfam family "Eukaryotic large subunit ribosomal RNA", at positions 70 to 955 of the family's 3401-position model. The record is from RNAcentral. Lineage: Eukaryota; Fungi; Ascomycota; Leotiomycetes; Helotiales; Dermateaceae.